This 250-nucleotide ribosomal RNA is filed under the name uncultured bacterium. Its description in RNAcentral is "partial 16S ribosomal RNA". It matches the Rfam family "Bacterial small subunit ribosomal RNA", at positions 524 to 773 of the family's 1533-position model. The record is from RNAcentral.
UACGAAGGGUGCAAGCGUUAAUCGGAAUUACUGGGCGUAAAGCGUGCGUAGGCGGUUUGUUAAGUCUGCUGUGAAAUCCCCGGGCUCAACCUGGGAAUGGCAGUGGAUACUGGCAAGCUAGAGUGUGUCAGAGGGUGGUGGAAUUCCCGGUGUAGCGGUGAAAUGCGUAGAGAUCGGGAGGAACAUCAGUGGCGAAGGCGGCCACCUGGGACAACACUGACGCUGAGGCACGAAAGCGUGGGGAGCAAAC